This 253-nucleotide ribosomal RNA is filed under the name uncultured bacterium. RNAcentral's name for it is "partial 16S ribosomal RNA". It matches the Rfam family "Bacterial small subunit ribosomal RNA", at positions 524 to 776 of the family's 1533-position model. The record is from RNAcentral.
UACGGAGGGUGCGAGCGUUAAUCGGAAUUACUGGGCGUAAAGCGCGCGUAGGCGGCUUAGUCAGUGAGGUGUGAAAGCCCCGGGCUUAACCUGGGAACUGCAUCUCAUACUGCUGAGCUAGAGUACGAGAGAGGGUUGUGGAAUUCCACGUGUAGCGGUGAAAUGCGUAGAUAUGUGGAGGAACAUCAGUGGCGAAGGCGGCAACCUGGCUCGAUACUGACGCUGAGGUGCGAAAGCGUGGGGAGCAAACAGG